GACGAACGCUGGCGGCGUGCUUAACACAUGCAAGUCGAGCGGUAAGGCCCUUUCGGGGGUACACGAGCGGCGAACGGGUGAGUAACACGUGGGCGACCUGCCCUCAGCCCUGGGAUAAGCCUGGGAAACUGGGUCUAAUACCGGAUAUGACUCCAUGACGCAUGUUGUGGGGUGGAAAGCCUUGUGCGGCUGAGGAUGGGCCCGCGGCCUAUCAGCUUGUUGGUGGGGUGAUGGCCUACCAAGGCGACGACGGGUAGCCGGCCUGAGAGGGCGACCGGCCACACUGGGACUGAGACACGGCCCAGACUCCUACGGGAGGCAGCAGUGGGGAAUCUUGCGCAAUGGGCGAAAGCCUGACGCAGCGACGCCGCGUGAGGGAUGACGGCCU
This 388-nucleotide ribosomal RNA is filed under the name uncultured bacterium. RNAcentral describes it as "bacterial SSU rRNA". It matches the Rfam family "Bacterial small subunit ribosomal RNA", at positions 28 to 417 of the family's 1533-position model. The record is from RNAcentral.